Molecule: unclassified non-coding RNA, 358 nt
Filed under: Hevea brasiliensis (rubber tree)
Lineage: Eukaryota; Viridiplantae; Streptophyta; Magnoliopsida; Malpighiales; Euphorbiaceae
Source: RNAcentral
GCGGGUUUUCUUUUGGGUUUCUUAGUUUCUCUUUCGUUUCCUUGUUUGUUUGAUGGGUAAGAAGAAAACCCAGAAAACUAAGGAGAUUGCAGUCGCCAUAGCUGAAACCUCCACCUCCAAAUUAGCCGAUGAUGGUAUUGGCCAAUCGAUACAGCCCAGGAAAAGGGGCCGACCUCGUAAGGUUCUUGAUGAACCACAAAACAAAGAGGAGAACAAGAAACUGUCGCCGCCGCUGCUGCCGGAAGUUGCAGAGAAUCCACCGGAGAAGAAAGCUAAAACCACCGUAGAUGAACCGCCGCCGGGUUCCAUGGAAGAAGGUUCAAAACAAGAAGAACGCAAAACAGGGGAUGGUUCGAGA